AACUGUGAGUUAACAUCUUUAUCUUUUAACCAGAUCAGUCCAUAAUUUCACAUUAACUUUCAUUUUUAUCAAACAAUGGUUAACCAGAGGUUAAAGUGUUUGGUUGUUAGCCGUUUUUUAUUGUCAAACCUAAAAAUUUGUGCAAUUUUUUUCAAUUGUUUUCUUGUGUAAUCAAAGUAUUGGCUCAGGGUGAGAGUUGAGCCAUCUCAUUAUUCUGGUUUUUUUGUUGUGCACCAUGAAGAGUAAAUUAAAUCCAUUUUUGAAACUUACAAUAUUUUCUACCUGUUCAUUUGGAGUGUCAACAGUGCUUUACAGAAUCAGCAGAAUAAAUAUCUACAAUUUUCUUCUUCUUCCCAUUAACUUACAACUAAUGUUACAGAUUUAAUCAUGGACGUGUUAAAGCUUUUGGGGGUAAAUAGGCACGUUUCCAUUUUCUGCUCAGGUUUGGUUAAUCUUUAAAGGAAAACAAAAAGGAAGCAAUCAUCUCCUAAAGAUGAUGGUGAUGAUAAUGAUGACUCUGAAAUUGAACAAGUAAAGAAAAGUAAAAGAUUCAAGAGAAAUGCAAGCAAAGGAUCCAAAGCGAAAAAGGAGAAAGGUGGAAAAAGGGUAAUCAAGAAGAAAUGGCAAACAAAGAAACUAUUCUGAGUUGAAUAUCAUGAUGACUCAAGGGAAUGUAAAUUAGUUUAGAAAAACUUGAAUUUAGGAAUUGUAGCUGAUUAUCAAGCUUCCUAUUAACUCCUGGCAAUAAUUAUCAUAAUCAUCGUGAAUGAAAGUAAAUUUCCAACCAGCUGAUAUUUAUACAUUAUUGGAGACCAAUUUGUCAAUAGAUUUUUCAAAACAGCAAGUAUUAAUAAUAUAUUAGUCAAUUAAUAUUAUAGUUGAGGAUUCACACAGAUUGAAAUAUCUGGUCGAGCAUAACUCAAGUAAUGAAGAAUCAAUUGAUUAAUUUUUCUUUGAUCAGCGAUUUUUCUUGAUAUACCUUUUAAAGUUCACAACUUAAUAGCAGCAAAGUAUUUGGCCAUUAUCAUCGAUCUAUUAGUUGGAGCUACCAGUGAUUGAUUAAGUUUCCUGCUGAGUACCGAUUGCCUAACGUUUUUGGCGGUUAUUUCCAUCCUCAUGAUGAUAUUUUGAUAUUGAAUUUAGUCAACAAUGUUGAUAAUAAGUCAUGGUGGAAGCAGUUAUCAUGAUAAUCGGCAACAAUGAGUUUCACUGGUUUAAUUGUAAGCUAGACAAAGGGAUCAAAGCAAUACAAGGACAAAGACCAGGAAAAUGACCAGUAAAGAUUGGGCAGUUUGUCCAUUUUUAUCCGCCGUCCAAUGUAGAGAUGCUACAGUCAUUAUUGAUCUCAAUAAGCAGUUAAACAUUUUAAUUUAUUGUGCAUUGAUUGACCAUAAUAAAGAUGUGGACUAAAAAGGAUUUGAACGGCUACUGGGUUUGGAUAAAUGAUCAAUAACCAUUUUAUUUAAGCAAAAGUGCUCCACGCAAUUGGUUUUAAUUGUUAUUUAUAAUCAGUUAAUCGUUUUCUUCAUAAAUCUUUCAUUUUCAACCUCAUUUAUAGUAAGUGAUAUGCUGUUUACCUAUUCAUCACGAGAAUGAUGUUGAUGAACAUCAUCUUGAAAAGUUAAUUUUCGCUCUCAUUGAUAACUUGAUUGACGAGAUGCUUAAAAUAAGAGUAUAUAUUUAUAUAAAUUUAAAGGUUAAAUUGUUCUGAGCUCUUAAUUGUUACCAAAUUGCUGUUGACUACCUUUUGCCUUUUUAUAAAAUGGUUAAUUUUAUUUCUCUACAAUCUACUAAUCCGUUCAUCACUAUGUAAUAGUUAUUAUGUUAAUUUUGUAACCUGAAUCAUCGUGAUUCACAUCGUCAUCUUAAUACUGAUUUGAUUGACUUGUGACUUGGUCGAUGAUGAUGGUGAUAGUGAUGAUGUUUUAUGGGGAGAAACCAAAAACAGAUGAAAAUUAUUUUGUUUUUAAAAUGAAAGUCAAUCAAAUUAUGAAAGUCUCUUAAUCUAUUUAAAGGUUCCUCUUGGCCAACAACUAUCAGCAAACAAUCAACACACAAUACAAUUUAAUUUCACGGUUCAUUCAAGUUUAUUUGGCCAUUUAAUUCACUGUAAACUAUCAACAUGACAUGCAACUUAUAAAUGGGACAAAACUCUAGCUGCUUCAAACUGUAAAUAAUUCAAUCAUCUGUUAACCAUUUGAAUUAUCAUCAAAAGAUUUAUAAUCUCACUUGCACUUUGAUUGUUUUGGUACAACAUUUAAAGCCAAUUUUCAAUCUUAAACUUGAUUCCUAUCAACUUUCAUUUUAUUACAAUCAACAAAUUUAAUUACUCCAAGUUUAAAUUUGGGUUUAAAGUAACCAGAAAUAGCUAUCAAUGUUGUCUAUUUCAUUGAGAAAAACCUAUUUCUUUAUAACAGUUUUAAUCGUCUGAUAUAUUUCACCCAAAUCAACCUUGAAUAUCUCAAUUGUUACAUCUUUGACCAACAAGUUUAUCUGAUUAUAUAAACGUUAAUAAUGUUUCAAUGCCCAUAAUUUAAUGAUCAGGAAUAGCUAUCAAUGAAGGCAAUCAAAAUAACUUGAAACCAUUUUUUGUCGAUACGAUUUUUGAAACCUUUUCUGAUUGCAGCUAAUAGCUGAUAGUUAAUAGCUGUUAAGGAUUGAAAGAUAUUAGCUUAUGAAUAGUUUGAUUGUUUACCAUCACAUUAAUAAUGCUUUUUUUGUAUUAAAACAGGAUAAUGGACAACAAUUUAUGGUCAAUGAUAGCCCUUGAAGACAACCCAAGUUGAUAAGACGAGUUGCCGGUUUUCUGGUGCAUUGUUUAGUAAACAUGAGAAAGAUUGACUCUUCAUCAUUCAUUAUUAUUCACCUAUUAUAACUGGAUUUAAGUUAUCUUUUUCAACAAAUUAUAUUGAGGCCAAAUUGUUGUGAUCAGUAAAUUACAAUUAUGUGUUAGAUGGCUCCAAUGACCUGAAGAUGCAAAUAUUUAAGUAACCAGGUUAGCUUGCUUUUUUGAGAUUUUUCUUGCCUUUUUGUUUUUUCAGUUUUGUUUUUCGCAUUAUUUUUUGCUAAUUUUGUGUGUAAAAAAUUUAUGGUCCAAAUAAAAGACAAACUAAUCAUUAAUAUUUGGUAAAUACUAGCAAAUUAACUUUGAAUAUCAACUUUAUUAGUUGAAUGUGUUAAGCAUUAAUCAGGCUUUAUAAGGUUAGCUGUUUAAUCGUAGUUUUUUGUUGUUAAAUUAAGCAUCUUUCAUCAUCUACAGUGAUACACAGAUGACUUUAAGGUAUGAUUAUUUAAAUAUUUGAUUUAAUGGAUUAAUUGGCAUCAUGUGAGAAUAAUAAUUCAUCGUUUUUCUCACAUUAACUUGUGAAAACAUUUUUAACGUGUGAACUGUUUAAAUUUAACAAAUAACUUGAUUAUAUUCAACUUUCUCUUUGACUUCUUAAUGAUCAAGUAUUCAUCUAUCAUUUGUUUUCAUUUACACAGAAAUGACAAUUAACCUGUUCAUAUGGCUGUAAGCAAGGCUUCAAUUGUAAGGCGUCGAACACACAGGUUGAUGUUAUUUAAAAAUAUCGCAUAAACUGAGCUCGAUGAUUUAAUUAAGCACAUGAUAAAUCAAUCAUAGCUUGCACAUUAAUAAAAAGCACGGUAAACAAAUUACAUGUGUAAGUAGAUUUAUUUCGAUAUAAUCAUUAAUUGAACGAAUAAAUAAAUCUUGAU
Molecule: non-coding RNA, 3717 nt
Organism: Tetranychus urticae (two-spotted spider mite)
Lineage: Eukaryota; Metazoa; Arthropoda; Arachnida; Trombidiformes; Tetranychidae
Source: RefSeq, a predicted model, not a curated record